CCCGAAUGGGGAAACCCAGUGUGAUUCGUCACACUAUCAUUAACUGAAUCCAUAGGUUAAUGAGGCGAACCGGGGGAACUGAAACAUCUAAGUACCCCGAGGAAAAGAAAUCAACCGAGAUUCCCCCAGUAGCGGCGAGCGAACGGGGAGGAGCCCAGAGCCUGAAUCAGCAUGUGUGUUAGUGGAAGCGUCUGGAAAGGCGCGCGAUACAGGGUGACAGCCCCGUACACAAAAGCGCAUGUGCUGUGAGCUCGAUGAGUAGGGCGGGACACGUGGUAUCCUGUCUGAAUAUGGGGGGACCAUCCUCCAAGGCUAAAUACUCCUGACUGACCGAUAGUGAACCAGUACCGUGAGGGAAAGGCGAAAAGAACCCCGGCGAGGGGAGUGAAAAAGAACCUGAAACCGU
This 406-nucleotide ribosomal RNA is filed under the name Salmonella enterica. Its description in RNAcentral is "partial 23S ribosomal RNA". It matches the Rfam family "Bacterial large subunit ribosomal RNA", at positions 113 to 559 of the family's 2925-position model. Lineage: Bacteria; Pseudomonadati; Pseudomonadota; Gammaproteobacteria; Enterobacterales; Enterobacteriaceae. RNAcentral also lists the same sequence under 6 other names. The record is from RNAcentral.